Molecule: ribosomal RNA, 442 nt
Filed under: uncultured bacterium
Lineage: Bacteria
Description: partial 16S ribosomal RNA
Rfam family: Bacterial small subunit ribosomal RNA
Source: RNAcentral
CCUACGGGAGGCAGCAGUGGGGAAUAUUGGGCAAUGGAGGCAAGUCUGACCCAGCAACGCCGCGUGAAGGAAGAAGGCUUUCGGGUUGUAAAGUUCUUUUAAGGGGGAAGAGCAGAAGACGGUACCCCUUGAAUAAGCCAAGGCUAACCACGUUCCAGCAGCCGCGGUAAUACGGAGGUGGCAAGAGUUUUCCGGAUUUGCUGGGGGUAAAGGGCGUGGAGCCGGGUAGAGAAGUUAGAUGUGAAAUCUACGGGCUCAACCCGUGAGCUUCAUGUGAAACUAUUUGGCUUGAGUGUCGGAGAGGUAAGCGGAAUUCCUAGUGUAGCGGUGAAAUGCGUAGAUAUUAGGAGGAACACCAGUGGCGAAGGCGAAUUACUGGACUGUAACUGACGGUGAGGCACGAAAGCGUGGGGAGCAAACAGGAUUAGAUACCCCAGUAGUC